UCGUGGCGUGAGUCGUCAGCUUAAUUGCGGUAACGAGCGAGACUCCGACUGUUAAAUAGUACCCGGUUCUUUUGACCAGGAGACUUCUUAACUGGAUUCGCGGCUUCAAGCCGCAAGAAAUGGAGCAAUAACA
RNAcentral lists this ribosomal RNA (133 nucleotides) under uncultured eukaryote. Its description in RNAcentral is "partial 18S ribosomal RNA". It matches the Rfam family "Eukaryotic small subunit ribosomal RNA", at positions 1299 to 1458 of the family's 1831-position model. The record is from RNAcentral.